UGGCGGACGGGUGAGUAAUGUCUAGGAAACUGCCUGAUGGAGGGGGAUAACUACUGGAAACGGUAGCUAAUACCGCAUAACGUCGCAAGACCAAAGAGGGGGACCUUAGGGCCUCUUGCCAUCGGAUGUGCCCAGAUGGGAUUAGCUAGUAGGUGGGGUAAAGGCUCACCUAGGCGACGAUCCCUAGCUGGUCUGAGAGGAUGACCAGCCACACUGGAACUGAGACACGGUCCAG
Molecule: ribosomal RNA, 235 nt
Filed under: uncultured bacterium
Lineage: Bacteria
Description: partial 16S ribosomal RNA
Rfam family: Bacterial small subunit ribosomal RNA
Source: RNAcentral